This 365-nucleotide transfer RNA is filed under the name uncultured Microcystis sp. RNAcentral describes it as "partial 16S-23S ribosomal RNA intergenic spacer". The stretch from base 136 to 209 matches the Rfam family "tRNA". The record is from RNAcentral. Lineage: Bacteria; Bacillati; Cyanobacteriota; Cyanophyceae; Chroococcales; Microcystaceae.
AAAGGGAGACCUAAUUCGGGUAGGAGACGAAAAAAAAGUAGUCCCUACCAAGAAUCAAUCCCAAAAGGUCAGAGCGAGGCGAAAUUGGCUUUCAAACUAGGUUCUGGGUUCACACAAGGCCUGAAUCAGGAACAAGGGCUAUUAGCUCAGGUGGUUAGAGCGCACCCCUGAUAAGGGUGAGGUCCCUGGUUCGAGUCCGGGAUGGCCCACCUGCACAGGUGGCAAAAAGAAAGAAAAGAAGCGAGGAAUCAGCACCUUAUCUUACUUAUAUAGUAAGAGAGAAUGCUGGCUCUGAGUUCAGAGUCCAGAGGAACCUUGAAAACUGCAUAGAGCUAGGUGAAAAAGCCAAAAAAGAAGACCGCAAG